GGAUGCGAUCAUACCAGCACUAAAGCACCGGAUCCCAUCAGAACUCCGAAGUUAAGCGUGCUUGGCGUGCUUGGGCGAGAGUAGUACUAGGAUGGGUGACCUCCUGGGAAGUCCUUGUGUUGCAUUCC
This 128-nucleotide ribosomal RNA is filed under the name Triticum aestivum (bread wheat). Lineage: Eukaryota; Viridiplantae; Streptophyta; Magnoliopsida; Poales; Poaceae. The record is from RNAcentral.